GUCCAUAUGUUCGAACGUCGCGUAUAGGC
Molecule: small RNA, 29 nt
Filed under: Bombyx mori (domestic silkworm)
Lineage: Eukaryota; Metazoa; Arthropoda; Insecta; Lepidoptera; Bombycidae
Description: ovarian small RNA-5488
Source: RNAcentral